UACAGAGGUCUCAAGCGUUGUUCGGAUUCCUUGGGCGUAAAGGGUGUGUAGGUGGCGCGCUAAGUCGGGUGUGAAAUUUCGGAGCUUAACUCCGAAACUGCAUUCGAUACUGGCGUGCUUGAGGACUGGAGAGGAGACUGGAAUUUACGGUGUAGCGGUGAAAUGCGUAGAUAUCGUAAGGAAGACCAGUGGCGAAGGCGGGCCUCUGGACAGUUCCUGACGCUGAGGCACGAAGGUCAGGGGAGCAAACGGG
Molecule: ribosomal RNA, 253 nt
Filed under: uncultured bacterium
Lineage: Bacteria
Description: partial 16S ribosomal RNA
Rfam family: Bacterial small subunit ribosomal RNA
Source: RNAcentral